CAAAAACAUGUCUGUAUGGUUGUUAUAUAGAGUCUAGCCUGCCCACUGAUAUUAAUUAAAGGGCCGCGGUAUUUUGACCGUGCGAAGGUAGCAUAAUCAUUAGUCUUUUAAUUGAAGGCUUGUAUGAAUGGUUGGACAAAAAGUAAGCUGUCUCUACUAUAAUAUUUGAAUUUAACUUUUAAGUGAAAAGGCUUAAAUAAUCUAAGGGGACGAUAAGACCCUAUAAAGCUUUACAUUAAAAUAAAAUAUAUUGUCACGUGUUUGUUUAACUUAAUUUAUUUUAAAAUUGUUUCGUUGGGGCGACGAGAAUAUAAAUGAUUAACUGUUCUUAAAUAAAAAUUACAAUAUUAAUUGUGUAAAAAUUGAUCCUUUAUUAAAGAUUAAAAGAUUGAGCUACUUUAGGGAUAACAGCGUAAUCUUCUUUGAGAGUCCAGAUCGACAAGAAGGGUUGCGACCUCGAUGUUGAAUUAAGAAUUCCUUACGGUGCAGCAGUUGUAUGGGAAGGUCUGUUCGACCUUUAAAUUCUUACAUGAUUUGAUUCCAAACCGGA
RNAcentral lists this ribosomal RNA (550 nucleotides) under Gennadas elegans. RNAcentral describes it as "partial large subunit ribosomal RNA". It matches the Rfam family "Bacterial large subunit ribosomal RNA", at positions 1808 to 2620 of the family's 2925-position model. The record is from RNAcentral. Lineage: Eukaryota; Metazoa; Arthropoda; Malacostraca; Decapoda; Benthesicymidae.